UGCCAGACUCCUACGGGAGGCAGCAGUGGGGAAUAUUGGACAAUGGGGGGAACCCUGAUCCAGCGACGCCGCGUGAGUGAAGAAGUAUUUCGGUAUGUAAAGCUCUAUCAGCAGGGAAGAUAAUGGCGGUACCUGAGGAAGAAGCCCCGGCUAACUACGCGCCAGCAGCCGCGGGAAUAAGUAGGGGGCAAGCGUUAUCCGGAUUUACUGGGUGUAAAGGGAGCGUAGACGGCAUGGCAAGUCUGAAGUGAAAGCCCGGGGCUCAACCGCGGGACUGCUUUGGAAACUGUUAAGCUGGAGUGCAGGAGAGGUAAGUGGAAUUCCUAGUGUAGCGGUGAAAUGCGUAGAUAUUAGGAGGAACACCAGUGGCGAAGGCGGCUUACUGGACUGUAACUGACGUUGAGGCUCGAAAGCGUGGGGAGCAAACAGGAUUAGAUACCCGAGUG
Molecule: ribosomal RNA, 446 nt
Filed under: uncultured bacterium
Lineage: Bacteria
Description: bacterial SSU rRNA
Rfam family: Bacterial small subunit ribosomal RNA
Source: RNAcentral